RNAcentral lists this ribosomal RNA (207 nucleotides) under uncultured bacterium. RNAcentral's name for it is "partial 16S ribosomal RNA". It matches the Rfam family "Bacterial small subunit ribosomal RNA", at positions 568 to 774 of the family's 1533-position model. The record is from RNAcentral.
UGCGUAGGCGGGUCUUUAAGUCAGGGGUGAAAUCCUGGAGCUCAACUCCAGAACUGCCUUUGAUACUGAAGAUCUUGAGUUCGGGAGAGGUGAGUGGAACUGCGAGUGUAGAGGUGAAAUUCGUAGAUAUUCGCAAGAACACCAGUGGCGAAGGCGGCUCACUGGCCCGAUACCGACGCUGAGGCACGAAAGCGUGGGGAGCAAACA